This 141-nucleotide ribosomal RNA is filed under the name Lactobacillus jensenii MD IIE-70(2). RNAcentral's name for it is "partial 16S ribosomal RNA". It matches the Rfam family "Bacterial small subunit ribosomal RNA", at positions 1 to 120 of the family's 1533-position model. Lineage: Bacteria; Bacillati; Bacillota; Bacilli; Lactobacillales; Lactobacillaceae. The record is from RNAcentral.
UUCAAAAUGAGAGUUUGAUCCUGGCUCAGGACGAACGCUGGCGGCGUGCCUAAUACAUGCAAGUCGAGCGAGCUUGCCUAUAGAAAUUCUUCGGAAUGGACAUAGAUACAAGCUAGCGGCGGAUGGGUGAGUAACGCGUGG